GGGCUGUGCGUCGCGUUCAGAGCUGCCGCUGGUUGAUUUCACGGUGCUUUCCACCAGCAAGAAUUGGGGGUGGUGCCGGGCUUUGGCUUCGGCCAGCGGACUUGGGUUCCCUGGCCGCCCCAGCUACCCGUCUUCACGUUUCCAUCUGUUCUCAGCUGGGGGGUACGGGGGAAGAUGGCUGGAAGGCCCCCUGCCCCUGACUCCCACUUCCCAGCCUCUCUGACUGCGGGCUCCUUGGCCUAGCAAGGUGCAGAACACCUGCCACCUGCACCUGAGAGCCCUCCCACUCCAAAGACCUUCCGCACCAAGACCUCGUUUCUGGCAGUCAUGUCUCCUCUGAAAUAGGUGGCAGUUCACUUUCACAAUUUUUAAACUGGUGAGAAAGGACUUGAAUGUGGCUAGAGGAGGGCAGGCCGGAGGCCACACAUGCAGGAAGGUGCCUGAUGUACAAGCCCAUACUGGCCGGAAGGCAGGCCUGGGUGAGGACACUCUGUUGUUGAGAUGAAAAUCCCCUGGGGGAGAGAGGAGAAUAGAGGGGGCAUAAAAGAGAGCACAGCCAGGCACAACGCGCAGGCGCUGAGUCAAUGAGACCCUCCUGCACAUCACACAGGUCAGAGACACGGCCGCAAGCCCCUCCUGUCCACAUGCCCAGAGUUUAGAGACACCAAGGUCUCAGCAUCACCUAGAACCUCUGAGAAGUCAUCUCUUGAUCCCCUUGACACCAGGACUUCAGAGAUGCCCGGUUUCAAAAGAAGACAAGCAAGGGGGAUUCCUCAGUCAACACCCAUUUUCCCCUCUCUCCCUUGCCCACCGAAAGUGAUUUAUAAGCACAGCAGAAAUCAAAACAAACAAGCCAUGCUUGGAAAACGAGGAUCCACAUGUGUAAAUAAACGGGAACUACAGCUCAAAGGCAGUCAUACACUUGUCAUUCUUGUUUCUUCCUCUCAUGACAUGGAAAGGCAGGUAGAAAGAUCUCUUGAAGGUUGCUCCGAAGCCCAUGGGAGUGAAUGUUCCGGUGGACUUGGGGCUCUGCUGACGGAGGCCAGGCCACAAGGGGACAACGCUGGCACCAGGCCCAGUCACCUCUGUACCACUCGUUAGUAGUCUGGUUGGUGGCCGCCAGAUACAGGACAAACAACAGCUCCUCUUGGGCAGCAGUGUGUGCCUGGCAUGACCAGUAGCUGCCGGACAUGGUUCUUCCAGGAGCCUGGAUCUGGC
Molecule: long non-coding RNA, 1218 nt
Filed under: Homo sapiens (human)
Lineage: Eukaryota; Metazoa; Chordata; Mammalia; Primates; Hominidae
Description: HSALNT0339092
Source: RNAcentral